AGCGGUUUGGCGCCAAACGUCUGGGUCUCCGACGCGUUGGACGCCUGUCUCAGCGUUCUGGUUCCGAAUCAGAAUCCCUGAGGACUAGAAAGCCCCGGCCGGGGGCGGGAUUCGAAUACCUUGAGAACCUGGGGGAGACUGUCGUUCAAUAUGAAGGAGGAUCAAGUAGUGCUGGAAGAACCGGGAUUCCAAGAUGAAGACGAAUCUUUGUUUCAAGACAUUGACCUGUUACAAAAACAUGGAAUUAAUGUGGCCGACAUUAAGAAACUGAAGUCGGUAGGCAUCUGUACCAUCAAAGGGAUACAGAUGACAACAAGAAGAGCCCUAUGCAAUGUCAAAGGACUCUCAGAAGCAAAAGUGGACAAAAUUAAAGAAGCAGCCAACAAGCUUAUUGAACCAGGAUUCUUGACUGCAUUUGAAUAUAGUGAGAAGAGGAAGAUGGUUUUCCAUAUCACCACUGGGAGCCAGGAAUUUGAUAAGUUGCUAGGAGGUGGAAUUGAAAGCAUGGCAAUCACAGAAGCUUUUGGAGAAUUUCGAACUGGAAAAACCCAACUCUCUCAUACCCUCUGUGUGACAGCUCAACUUCCAGGAGCAGGUGGCUACUCAGGAGGAAAGAUUAUCUUCAUCGAUACAGAAAAUACUUUCCGUCCAGAUCGCCUUCGGGACAUUGCUGAUCGCUUCAAUGUAGACCAUAAUGCAGUCCUGGACAAUGUACUUUAUGCACGUGCAUAUACUAGUGAACAUCAGAUGGAGCUACUUGAUUAUGUAGCAGCAAAGUUCCAUGAAGAAGCUGGCAUCUUUAAGCUACUGAUCAUUGAUUCAAUAAUGGCACUUUUCCGAGUGGAUUUCAGUGGUCGUGGGGAGUUGGCUGAACGGCAGCAAAAACUGGCCCAGAUGUUGUCACGACUCCAAAAAAUAUCAGAAGAAUAUAAUGUAGCUGUGUUUGUGACCAAUCAAAUGACUGCUGACCCAGGAGCAACCAUGACUUUUCAAGCAGACCCCAAAAAACCCAUUGGGGGACACAUUCUGGCUCAUGCUUCAACAACAAGAAUAAGUUUGCGAAAAGGAAGAGGAGAGCUGAGAAUUGCCAAGAUUUAUGACAGCCCUGAGAUGCCUGAAAAUGAAGCCACCUUCGCAAUAACUGCUGGAGGAAUUGGGGAUGCCAAGGAGUAGGUGGCGAAUUGAUGCAGAUUGCUUCUUAGUGCUUAUUAGGAGCUGAAGAAAUGGAAAAGCAGUCUUAAAUUUCAGAUCUUGAAGGGCAGAGAGAGACUCAAAAAAGAGAUGCUACUGGUCAGGACUAUUUUGAUUGCAAGCCACAGAAACUCAAACUAGCAAAUGGAAGACAUGAAUUCAUUGGCUCAAGAGACUGAGAAGUCCACAAGUAGAGCUGAUGACCGUAGCCACCCACGGCUGAAGCCAAGAUGUCUAACAGAAUCAUCAGAACAUUUCUCUCUGCCUCCGUCUCCUGCUUUGCUCAUUUUCAUGCUGCUAUUGUUCUUUCUCAGACUCUCCCCACAUAGUAAGUAGCCAAAAUGCUGCUUGUAGCUCUAGACUUACAUCCCACUAGAAAAGGCAUGCCUUUUUCCUCCAUAGAUUAUUCAUUCUGUGGAAACAAGCAAAAACCACCAAAUGAGAACAGAGGCUAUUUAUUCAGAGUUGCUACAGCAAGAGUCUGUGACCUUAAUUUGCUUUUGGUAGAGAGGCAAAGGCAGGCAGAGGAAUGGGAAGGCUUUAUAGAGGAAAGAAGGAAAGGCUUCAGGUACGCUCUGAUUGGAGGCUGUUGGCAUGGAGAGUUGGAAGAUUAAUUUAGAGAUGUGGAAAACAGAUAAGGGAAAUAAUACUGGCAUCAGGGAGCUAAUUUAGGAAACAGUUAUGAUAAAUCAAUUGUUAGGUGAUAAAGAAUGGGCCUGGGGUGGUAGCAGUGAAAUGGAUAAACAGUUCAAAAAGGUAGUGAAGAUUUGGUGUGAGACUGAAUAUAAAAAGAGGAAGAGAAGGCAGAGUCACAGGUGACUUGACAAAGUUCUUUAACCUAUGAGAGGAGAUUAUGUUUGUAUCAUGAAUACAAAUGAAGAAGUGUCAAAUAAAGACUAGGGACUUUACCUGGGAGGGUAAGUUUCUAUUAGUUUGCUAAGGCUGCCAUAAUAAAGCACCACAAACUUAGAUGGCUUCAGUUCAGUUGCUCAGUCGUGUCUGGUUCUUU
Cervus elaphus (red deer) is the source of this 2200-nucleotide RNA transcript. It is a transcript of the gene named DNA meiotic recombinase 1, with no coding region annotated. The record is from RefSeq and is a predicted model, not a curated record. Lineage: Eukaryota; Metazoa; Chordata; Mammalia; Artiodactyla; Cervidae. The transcript has 15 exons.